GCAAUGAUGAUCCUUAAUGAUUUUGAUCAGUAAUGAAAAUGUGCAAUCAAUUUCUCUAAGAAGUUCUGAGCUU
RNAcentral lists this small nucleolar RNA (73 nucleotides) under Kryptolebias marmoratus (mangrove rivulus). RNAcentral describes it as "Small nucleolar RNA SNORD61 (ENSKMAG00000006366.1)". It matches the Rfam family "Small nucleolar RNA SNORD61". From Rfam's summary of the family: U61 belongs to the C/D class of snoRNA which contain the C (UGAUGA) and D (CUGA) box motifs. Most of the members of the box C/D family function in directing site-specific 2'-O-methylation of substrate RNAs. Lineage: Eukaryota; Metazoa; Chordata; Actinopteri; Cyprinodontiformes; Rivulidae. The record is from Rfam by way of RNAcentral.